This 92-nucleotide transfer RNA is filed under the name Caudoviricetes sp. Its description in RNAcentral is "tRNA-Ser". It matches the Rfam family "tRNA". From Rfam's summary of the family: Transfer RNA (tRNA) molecules are approximately 80 nucleotides in length. Their secondary structure includes four short double-helical elements and three loops (D, anti-codon, and T loops). Lineage: Duplodnaviria; Heunggongvirae; Uroviricota; Caudoviricetes. The record is from RNAcentral.
GGAAUGUUACCCAAGUCUGGUGAAGGGGACUGUUUGCUAAACAGUUAGGAGCAGUAAUGUUCGCAGAGGUUCAAAUCCUCUACAUUCCGCCA